RNAcentral lists this ribosomal RNA (253 nucleotides) under uncultured bacterium. RNAcentral describes it as "partial 16S ribosomal RNA". It matches the Rfam family "Bacterial small subunit ribosomal RNA", at positions 524 to 776 of the family's 1533-position model. The record is from RNAcentral.
UACCGAGGAGCCAAGCGUUGUCCGGAUUGACUGGGCGUAAAGCGCACGCAGGCGGACGCGCGCGUGGGGUGUGAAAUCUGGCCGCUUAACGGCCAGGCGCCAUCCCAUACGGCGCGUCUGGAGUGAUGCAGAGGUCGGUGGAAUUGCCGGUGUAGUGGUGAAAUGCGUAGAGAUCGGCAGGAACACCCAGGGGGAAACCAGCCGACUGGGCAUCUACUGACGCUGAGGUGCGAGAGCGUGGGGAGCGAACCGG